AGCGAACGCUGGCGGCAGGCCUAACACAUGCAAGUCGAACGAACUCUUCGGAGUUAGUGGCGGACGGGUGAGUAACACGUGGGAACGUGCCUUUAGGUUCGGAAUAACUCAGGGAAACUUGUGCUAAUACCGAAUGUGCCCUUCGGGGGAAAGAUUUAUCGCCUUUAGAGCGGCCCGCGUCUGAUUAGCUAGUUGGUGAGGUAAUGGCUCGCCAAGGCGACGAUCAGUAGCUGGUCUGAGAGGAUGAUCAGCCACAUUGGGACUGAGACACGGCCCAAACUCCUACGGGAGGCAGCAGUGGGGAAUCUUGCGCAAUGGGCGAAAGCCUGACGCAGCCCUGCCGCGUGAAUGAUGAAGGUCUUAGGAUUGUAAAAUUCUUUCACCGGGGACGAUAAUGACGGUACCCGGAGAAGAAGCCCCGGCUAACUUCGUGCCAGCCGCCGCCGUAA
Molecule: ribosomal RNA, 449 nt
Filed under: uncultured bacterium
Lineage: Bacteria
Description: partial 16S ribosomal RNA
Rfam family: Bacterial small subunit ribosomal RNA
Source: RNAcentral